This 248-nucleotide ribosomal RNA is filed under the name uncultured bacterium. RNAcentral's name for it is "partial 16S ribosomal RNA". It matches the Rfam family "Bacterial small subunit ribosomal RNA", at positions 796 to 1041 of the family's 1533-position model. The record is from RNAcentral.
CACGCUGUAAACGAUCAAUACUAGGUGUGCGGGGACUGACCCCCUGCGUGCCGGAGUUAACACAAUAAGUAUUGCACCUGGGGAGUACGAUCGCAAGGUUGAAACUCAAAGGAAUUGACGGGGGCCCGCACAAGCGGUGGAGCAUGUGGUUUAAUUCGAAGCAACGCGAAGAACCUUACCAGGUCUUGACAUCCCGAUGACCGCUCUAGAGAUAGAGUUUUCCCUUCGGGGACAUUGGUGACAGGUGG